This 83-nucleotide small RNA is filed under the name Chryseobacterium sp. RU37D. Its description in RNAcentral is "Flavo-1 RNA". It matches the Rfam family "Flavo-1 RNA". Lineage: Bacteria; Pseudomonadati; Bacteroidota; Flavobacteriia; Flavobacteriales; Weeksellaceae. The record is from Rfam by way of RNAcentral.
CCCUAGCCCCGAUUGCCGCGGCAUCCUUUUUGGGUAAGGGAAAAGCAAUGGAAAAAAAGAUAUAGCAGAAAGCGGGAUUAAGC